This 823-nucleotide non-coding RNA is filed under the name Gomphocerus sibiricus tibetanus. The record is from RNAcentral. Lineage: Eukaryota; Metazoa; Arthropoda; Insecta; Orthoptera; Acrididae.
AUUAAUUUUAGCUGUUAUUUUUUUAAAAUGAGCCGGUUAAUUUUUUUUUAUUUUUAUUCUUGCUUAUUUAUUCAUUUUUUCAUUGUAUUAUAUGCAAGAUUUGUUAAACUAAAAGUUCUUUUUGCAGUGAUUUCAUUUAAUUAUCAAGUAAUUUUGGAAUUAGUAAUUGAUUGAUUAUUGGCAUAAUUCGUGCCAGAAGCUGCGGUUAUAUGAUUAAUACAAGUGAAUAUAUAUGGUUAGGUUUUGGAUUUUUUAAAAAUUUAUAAGUUCAAAUAAAAAAAAUUAUGGUUCUUAGUAUAUGACUCUGUGUAAUUUAAAUAAUAAACUAGGAUUAGAUACCCUAUUAUUUUAAGUGUUAAUUUUGCUUACCUGCGUAGUAUUAGUUAGGAUCUUAAAACCCAAAGAAUUUGGCGGUGUCUCUUUCCAUUUAGAGGAACCUACCCCGUAAUUGAUAAUAUACGAUUAACUUUACUUCAUUUAUUUGUUUGUAUAUCUCCGUUAUCAGAAAAUCUUUUUGGAGUUAUAAUUUUCUUACUUUGAAUUGUAAAGUAUUUCAGAUCAAGGUGCAGCUUAUAAUUAAGAGGAAGUGGGUCCCAAUAAAUUUUAGUUUAUUACGUAUUUGAUAGUGACAUACUAUCAAUGAAGUUGGGUUUAAUAGUAAUUUAAUUUAUUUAGUUUAAUUGAUAUUGGCUCUGGGGUGUGGACACAUCCCCCGUCACUCUCAUUAUUGAAUUAUCUAUUUUAAUUUAAAGUUAGUUUCAAUUUAGAUGAGAUAAGUCGUAACAUAGUAGAUGUACUGGAAAGUGUAUCUAGAAAGGUUAUC